Molecule: ribosomal RNA, 253 nt
Filed under: uncultured bacterium
Lineage: Bacteria
Description: partial 16S ribosomal RNA
Rfam family: Bacterial small subunit ribosomal RNA
Source: RNAcentral
UACAGAGGUCCCAAGCGUUGUUCGGAUUCACUGGGCGUAAAGGGCGCGUAGGUGGCGGGGUAAGUCGGAUGUGAAAUCUCGGAGCUCAACUCCGAAAUGGCAUUGGAAACUACCCUGCUAGAGGGUCGGAGGGGGGACUGGAAUACUUGGUGUAGCAGUGAAAUGCGUAGAUAUCAAGUGGAACACCAGUGGCGAAGGCGAGUCCCUGGACGACUCCUGACACUGAGGCACGAAAGCUAGGGGAGCAAACAGG